UUGAGGAUGAUGGAGCUGGGGUAUCUGUCAACUCACCGGUUGCCAGAGUCCAUGUGACUAAUAUGGCUGGCUUGAUGUCCUCUUCCUCACUCAUCACAUAGUGAGGAAUCCUCCUGAAAUUCCAUGCCUGGUCAGAGAAUGAUGUUCCCUAGUAGAGAAGAACUGUUCUUCAAUCAAAAGUAAGCUGUCACAGAACUCCCCUGCAAGAACCUUUGUACCAGUUAAACUAUUACUGGCAAAUUUAAGCAGAAAAUGAGGAUUAUUAUAAGGGUAGUGGGCAUACUUUUA
RNAcentral lists this small RNA (288 nucleotides) under Gorilla gorilla gorilla (western lowland gorilla). Its description in RNAcentral is "7SK RNA (ENSGGOG00000035854.2)". Lineage: Eukaryota; Metazoa; Chordata; Mammalia; Primates; Hominidae. The record is from RNAcentral.